GCAAUCGUCGCCUAGUGGUAUGGCGCUGGUCUGCUAAACCGGUGUCCAACGGACUCGUGGGUUCGAUCCCCACCGAUUGCG
Molecule: transfer RNA, 81 nt
Filed under: Promethearchaeota archaeon
Lineage: Archaea; Promethearchaeati; Promethearchaeota
Description: Candidatus Lokiarchaeota archaeon (permafrost metagenome) tRNA-Ser
Rfam family: tRNA
About the family: Transfer RNA (tRNA) molecules are approximately 80 nucleotides in length. Their secondary structure includes four short double-helical elements and three loops (D, anti-codon, and T loops). Further hydrogen bonds mediate the characteristic L-shaped molecular structure. tRNAs have two regions of fundamental functional importance: the anti-codon, which is responsible for specific mRNA codon recognition, and the 3' end, to which the tRNAs corresponding amino acid is attached (by aminoacyl-tRNA synthetases). tRNAs cope with the degeneracy of the genetic code in two manners: having more than one tRNA (with a specific anti-codon) for a particular amino acid; and 'wobble' base-pairing, i.e. permitting non-standard base-pairing at the 3rd anti-codon position.
Source: RNAcentral